Molecule: ribosomal RNA, 253 nt
Filed under: uncultured bacterium
Lineage: Bacteria
Description: partial 16S ribosomal RNA
Rfam family: Bacterial small subunit ribosomal RNA
Source: RNAcentral
UACGUAGGGUGCAAGCGUUAAUCGGAAUUACUGGGCGUAAAGCGUGCGAAGGCGGUUCUAUAAGACAGAUGUGAAAUCCCCGGGCUCAAACUGGGAACUGCAUUUGUGACUGUAGAGCUGGAGUGCGGCAGAGGGGGAUGGAAUUCCGCGUGUAGCAGUGAAAUGCGUAGAUAUGCGGAGGAACACCGAUGGCGAAGGCAAUCCCCUGGGCCUGCACUGACGCUCAUGCACGAAAGCGUGGGGAGCAAACAGG